Molecule: long non-coding RNA, 487 nt
Organism: Entelurus aequoreus (snake pipefish)
Lineage: Eukaryota; Metazoa; Chordata; Actinopteri; Syngnathiformes; Syngnathidae
Exons: 3
Source: RefSeq, a predicted model, not a curated record
UAUCAAACAGGGAUCACGCAGCGCUGAAUCACCUUGUCAACAGUGUUGUGAUCCACAGGCACCGCCUCCAGCCAGCGCACCAUGUCAUCCACGUCCUGGCCACUCCUCCUCUGGACAGUCGACACAACUUCUGCUUACAAAGUGACGGUCCAACAAGGAUUCAGGGUCAUGAAACAUGAAGAACAUGUUCCUUAAUGUUGUGAAUAUUCAUGAAGUCAUGUUGUGAGAUGGUGAUGAGGAGGACUACACCCCCGACAAACCAGUCAGGCAGAAACCUGAAAGCCUGAAGCCGAGCACGUGGCCGCCAUAGACCGAUAUUGUGAAACCAGCCAGCUGUCAAACAUCUAUACGAGAAGAAGACGUUGUGAAACCAGCCAGCUGUCAAACAUCUAUACGAGAAGAAGACGUUGUGAAACCAGCCAGCUGUCAAACAUCUAUACGAGAAGAAGACAUUGUGAAACCAGCCAGCUGUCAAACAUCUAUACGA